Eucalyptus grandis is the source of this 2493-nucleotide long non-coding RNA. RefSeq lists it as uncharacterized. Lineage: Eukaryota; Viridiplantae; Streptophyta; Magnoliopsida; Myrtales; Myrtaceae. The record is from RefSeq and is a predicted model, not a curated record. The transcript is spliced from 5 exons.
AACCUAAUCGACAAACGGGGAAAACAGGAGAGCAUAGCAGCAGCUUCGGCAAUUAGGGGUCUGACCGUCCAUGGCAAAGCUUGAGGAUCUCUCGCUGCUGCAACCAUCACAAGGCAGUCGGACUCGAUUAUAAGAGAAGCCGUGGUCUUAUCGGCGUUCUGCAAGUGAUGUAGGGCGAUACUCAGUGCCUGGACUUCCACCAGCAACGCCGAAGAAGCAGAUUGAUCUUCAGGACUCCUGGGUCAGGGGGCCUCCACGAUGUGCCGGGAUCGGGAUCUCUUCAAGCUGAACCAACCACAUGAACAGGAGCUGAGAUUAUGUUAGCCAUUCGAACUUGGGCAACUGCGGCAUCAACAACAUGAAGAGGAUCAAGAGUCUGCUGGCAGAAGAUGAAUCUAUUACACGAUUUCCAAAUUUGCCAUAAAAAGUGUGGCUAAAAACUCCUAACCAGGUUAUUGCCCAUGGCUGGAGCUGAAGACCAAGCCGUUUCGAUGAUAUCCCAACAGGCCUGUUCCUGCAGCCAAUAAGCUUCGAACUUGAAAGUCUUGCCUUUACUAGGCAGUCUUGCUUCAGUAUUAAGCACCAAGGGACUGUGGUCCGAACCUACUGCUGGUAAAGCGAAGACUUCAGCCUCAGGAAAAAAGAUUCUCCAGUUCCAGUUGCAAAGAACCCUGUCCAAUCUUUCUUUAACCAGGUCAUCCCCCUCUCGGUGAUUCAUCCAAGUAAACGCACAGCCGUUGCUUUCGAUAUCCAUCAGUGCACAAUCGUGUAGAACUUCUCUAAAUGACUGCAUUCGGGAAAAAUCAAGGGAUCUCUUAUCUAUCUUCUCCCAAGGAUAGAUUAUUUCAUUGAAGUCCCCUGCACAAACCUAAGGUAAAGAGUUGGCGGCCGCAAUUCAUCGAAGGGCUGUCCAUAAGGGUUGGCGUGAGUGAAGAGUUGCUAAUGCAUGUACACAAGUCAAUCGCAUAGGUAUUCCUCUCCCUAUCUUUGUACAUAGAGCAUCGAUAAAGUCUUGAGUAGUUAGUUCCACCCGUAUAGAUAAAUGAGACUGCCAAAACAUGGCCAAACCUCCAGCUAUGCCUACUGGAUUAAUUACAUGGGAGUUAGAAAAUUGAAGUCUUCUCUGAAUUCUUGAAAGAACUACCUCUCUAUUCUUUGUUUCCAUCAAAAAGAUCACAUCCGGCUUCUCUUUGGCCACUAGGGCCUUUAGGGCUUGAACUGUCAGGGGAGAGCCAAAUCCCUGACAGUUCCAGCUUAGGAUUUUCAUUUUGUUACCGAUGACUUUUUCAGGCAAGCCACCUCAGCCCAGUUCCUUACUUCAUCGACCAUGAGGACAGGAGUUUCCAGUAGUUGAGUUUCUUCAAAACACUCAGAACCAUGAGAACACAAGUCAUAAGGGUUGUACCUCUUGAGUUUUUUUGUUGUCCCUGUUUUAGUGAUUAUACGAGAGGGUUUCACUUUCUUGGUAUUCAUAGCUGCUACAACUCUAUCUUGAGUUCCUUUUGGCAUGACAGGUGCUAGAAUCAAUACUCCACCAGAUAUAGCCGUCAUUCGAUUAGGGAAAGCGUUACAAUUAUGCUGAGGAAUUAAAGCUGUGACUUCUUCAACAAUAGGAGGAGACAGAGCAAGUACUUUGGAGAUCAUGAAAGGAGGAGUUUCUGGAAUAACUUCAUCAGAGUCGUCAGAGGGAAGCUUUCCUUCAUAGAACAUCUGCCAGUACGGACUGUAUUCCUUAACUUCAGCACGCAACCAUUGACUGAAAGCCAUCUUCUCCUUGCCUGCCAUCUUAGCUUCAGUCAAAGUUUUUCCAGGGAUGGUGAGUCUUCCCAUAUCUCAAUUUCCUGCUCGGACCAUAAACGGCCCAAUCUGUUGCAAAGAGCAGCAAGGCGUGAUGUCUGUUCCUGAUCGAGAAAGUCCAUAAUUGAAGUCCCAAGUCAGAAUUCAGAGGAUAUGUGCAAGGAUGUCGACAUGCAAAGGUAUACUUGAAGACUGGAAGGACAUGGACAAGGAUACAGUUUGGGAAAUUGGGCAAACAGGCAAAGAGCGGAGCUUCAGGUGAGAAAUAAAAAGACAACCGAGUUGAUCAUUGAUAGAAAUGGAAAGUACCGAUGACCCAGAGACAAUAGCGGAUAAGACAAAGAGAGAGUCAUCGCAGCAGAGAAUUGGGUUUCACUGGGCGGAUUUCACAAAAGAAAAGCCAAAUUCCAUUGACGAAAGAGUCAUCGCAGAGAAAGAAAGGAAAACGGGAUGGUUGAAAAUGAGAAAAGGUUGUGAUCGAUAAUUAGGAUUUAAUCAAACCAAAUGAAAACUACCAUUGUUGGUAGAGGGAAGCUCUGCAUGUCAAGAGAGAGGGAAAAUCCUCACUUUUUAGCCUAAUUGUACAUGAGAUUGAAUAUGUUAAUUCAUUUCCUAAUGAGGAUAACGACACAAAUAGUUCCUAAAAUUUAGCUCAAUAGAUAAUGUAGUCCUUGAAUUAUAUGAAAAUAUUCAAUA